RNAcentral lists this long non-coding RNA (518 nucleotides) under Fukomys damarensis (Damara mole-rat). RNAcentral's name for it is "lncRNA (ENSFDAG00000022678.1)". The record is from RNAcentral. Lineage: Eukaryota; Metazoa; Chordata; Mammalia; Rodentia; Bathyergidae.
CUGUGGUCCUCCCCUGGACCUGGAAGAUGGUCACUCAUGAGGUGUGGCUGGGAUGUGGCUGGCAAGACAUUCUGGUUACCUCUUCCCCACCGAAGCCAGGAGUCCAGCACAGGUGAUUCUCUAGUGGCCCUCGGAGACCCAGAGAAGCCAAAGCAUCCUCACUCUCAAGCCUGCGCUCUUCCCCUCACAUUCAGUGUCCUUGAGACUAUGGCAGCGCUGGGUCAGGCAGCUGGCUUUUCUACCCCUGUGGGGCAAUCAUGGAGAGGGAACAACGGCCUCAAGUGGAAGAGGAACCUCAGUCACCCAAGGCAAACCUUCCACCCUCCAACACUCACCAGGAAGACUGAGUGAGAUGGCACACGUGGAUCACUGGUAACGAGGUCGGGGCAGGGCUUAUUAUGCACCUUGGACUUAUUUUGCUGUGUGAACUGUGGGUGUCACCUUACCAUCUGUAAAAUUACAUUAGAUUUUUUUCUAAUCCCUUCUCCACUUCUAAACUUCUGAAUCGAAUAAUCAAC